GAUGAAGAACGUAGCGAAAUGCGAUAAGUAGUGUGAAUUGCAGAAUUCGGUGAAUCAUCGAAUCUUUGAACGCACAUUGCGCCCCUUGGUAUCCCGAGGGGCAUGCCUGUUCGAGCGUCAUUUCACCACUCAAGCCUGGCUUGGUGUUGGGCGACGUCCCCUUUGGGGACGCGCCUCGAAACGCUCGGCGGCGUGGCACCGGCUUUAAGCGUAGCAGAAUCUUUCGCUUUGGAAGUCGGGGCCCCGUCUGCCGGAAGACCUACUCGCAAGGUUGACCUCGGAUCAGGCAGGGAUACCCGCUGAACUUAAGCAUAUCAAUAAGCGGAGGA
Molecule: unclassified non-coding RNA, 329 nt
Filed under: soil metagenome
Description: partial contains 5.8S ribosomal RNA, internal transcribed spacer 2, and large subunit ribosomal RNA
Rfam family: 5.8S ribosomal RNA (bases 1-120)
Source: RNAcentral